AGGAGCGCGAAGGUACUCUAAGCGCGGUCGGAAAUCGCGCGGUUAGUGCAAAGGCAUAAGAGUGCUUGACUGCGAGACUGACACGUCGAGCAGGUGGGAAACCAGGUCUUAGUGAUCCGGUGGUUCUGUAUGGAAGGGCCAUCGCUCAACGGAUAAAAGGUACGCCGGGGAUAACAGGCUGAUACCCCCCAAGAGUUCACAUCGACGGGGGUGUUUGGCACCUCGAUGUCGGCUCAUCACAUCCUGGGGCUGUAGCCGGUCCCAAGGGUAUGGCUGUUCGCCAUUUAAAGUGGUACGCGAGCUGGGUUUAGAACGUCGUGAGACAGUUUGGUCCCUAUCUGGUGUGGGCGUUAGAAACUUGAGAGGAGCUGCUCCUAGUACGAGAGGACCGGAGUGGACGUACCUCUGGUGUUCCAGUUGUCAUGCCAAUGGCAUUGCUGGGUAGCUAUGUACGGACGGGAUAACCGCUGAAAGCAUCUAAGCGGGAAGCCCCCCUCAAGAUUAGGUUUCUCUGGACCUUUAAGGUCCCUAAAGGGUCGUUGUAGACUACAACGUUGAUAGGCGAGGUGUGGAAGCGCAGCAAUGCGUUAAGCUAACUCGUACUAAUUGCCCGUGAGGCUUGAUCAUAUAACACCCAAGAAG
RNAcentral lists this ribosomal RNA (642 nucleotides) under Candidatus Thioglobus sp. Its description in RNAcentral is "partial 23S ribosomal RNA". It matches the Rfam family "Bacterial large subunit ribosomal RNA", at positions 2304 to 2925 of the family's 2925-position model. Lineage: Bacteria; Pseudomonadati; Pseudomonadota; Gammaproteobacteria; Pseudothioglobaceae (SeqCode). The record is from RNAcentral.